This is a long non-coding RNA of Onychomys torridus (southern grasshopper mouse), 3356 nucleotides long. RefSeq lists it as uncharacterized. NCBI's taxonomy places the organism in Eukaryota, Metazoa, Chordata, Mammalia, Rodentia, Cricetidae. The transcript has 6 exons. The record is from RefSeq and is a predicted model, not a curated record.
GCUCUUCUAUCCUGCUGGUGGCAGUUUCUCUAAUGGGCAUGCUUUCUGGGGUAAUAACAAGGGUGAAGAGUUCUUGCUUUGAGAGAAAGGAAGGGAGGGCUGGGCAGAACCAUUCCUAGAUACUGAACAGGGGAAGCAAUUCUGUUGUCAUAGAAACCUGGGUUUAUUCUGAAGACUGUUUUCAAUGGCGAUCCAGGCGGUGUCCUGGAAAAUGAGCAUUCUUGGUGUUUGGACUGAGCUGAGCAUAUGGAUUCAGGGAGGUCUCACUGUGCGCCCAUGGUGAUGUGAUGACUGGGAAGAGGAAAAGCAUCCUUGCAUGCCUUGCACUCAUGGAGUCUGCACAGUCUAAAGUGGAAGGGUUUAUUUUCUGCAUCCCUGAAGCAGGAAGUCCUAGAGAAGAGUCCAAUGUGCUCUGACCUGUGCCAGACAGACACCAUGAAAAGAAUAAGAGGUAUUAUGGGUGACUUAUUUCCUUUCCCCCACCCUCUCCAUCAGAAUGCUAACAAGCUCCCAUCCUGUCUUUAUUGGCAUUCCUCUCACGGUAAAUUUGUUCUCACGUGCAUAUAUGCUCAGUCUUCUCAGAUGGAUGGAAGGACCAAGGCACAUUAUAUUCCAUCAGCUGUCCCAGAACUGCAUGACAGUGAUUUUCUGAGGAAUAUCCUUGGAUAUCUUGGAAAUUACUCUGUACUCCAUGCAAGGCUUGAACUCAUAGAGAUGCCCACCUGUGCCUAGCAAGUGCUGGGAUUAAACUCAUACAACAUGAUUAACAACAAUCUUCAAUAUGUCUUAAAAUAUAUAAUAAGCAUUUAGAGGUCAUUGACAGUGUAUUGGAAGAAAUGAGAGAAAUAUCCCAGAGACAUGUGAAUGGGCUGUCCUCACAGGAAUCACACCAAAAGAGCAUCAUUUAGUAGCUUUCAGCAUCCAGUGUGUGCUCCAGUAUUUUGAAGUUGCAGAGAAUCUGGUGAAUUAUGAGAAAAGAAACAAAUGUCCAACACCCAGUGUGGGGAAAAUUACUAAGACAACCAUAGCCAAAUGUUUGCUCCAAAUGGAAUCUGCAGAAUUAUAGAAAGUCCUCUGUCUCAGAGCCAGCUCCAUCAGGGAGCUGCUGAGAUCAUAGGUGGAGAGAGAGAAAGUGAUACAUGAGAAUAUCUGUGUAUGUAUCUGCAACCCCAGGAAGGUUUGCAUUGUGAAGAAUACUUACAGUUAAUCAUUUUGAUGGUAUAUGUAUUUUUUUCCCAGCACAAACAGGACAAGGUUAGUACUUGUGUGUUUUACCUCUAGUUUUCCUGUCAAGCUUGCAGAUUUUAUAGUGACUGCUGAGGGAUUGUGUACAGAUGGAGUAUUUUAUGUAUGAUUCUUGCCACAUCACUUAUCACCAUUAUACUUGCUAAUGUUGCUUCUGAUACCUCUUCCCUCUGCAGUUACCAGUCACCAAGCAUCACUUGUCUUUCAGUAUAGUUUCACUUUUUCCUUGUUUGAUUCUGAAUGUAUUUAUUCAGGCAUUGUGCCUAUCAGUACUGCUCAGAGACCCCCAUUUUGUGCAGAAGAACUCCUUUCCGUCACUAUAUAUUCUGGUGCCUAAAUUAUCCAAUUCCGUGCCAGUGGUAGGACACACAUUCCUGUUGACCUGCUACUCAUUUGUUUCCUGCCUAGAAUCUGGACCAUCUGACCAGCCCUGGAAGGAAGUAAUGGUGCCCAUCUCAGUGCUUUGAAGACCUUGAAGAUAAAGGUUUACAAAUGACAACUUACAGAGGGUGACAUGUAGAAAGUCUUCAGCAAAUGCUAGUUGUCAGUGGCACUUUGACCUCUCUCUCUGUCCAUGUCAGGUUCUUCUAUGAGAAGAACGGGACUGCAGAGAGAACACGCAGAAAUUGACAACAAGCUGCCCUCAGCCUUCCUAUUCCCAGAAUUCUCUUCUCUCUUGUCCAGCCUAUACUUCCUGCCUGGCCACUGGCCAAUCAGAGUUUUAUUUACACAGCAGUAAAAUACCAAAAGGAAAGCAACUUAAGAAGAAAGGGUUUAUCUUGACCCUCAGUUCCAGAGGAAUAAUAGUCUGUAACUGCAGAAGGCCCCUGUGCUGGCAGGAGGAGGAAGCUGACUGUUCACAUUUUCAUCUUCACUCAAGAAGCAGGGCAGACAAGUGACAUACUUCCUCCAGCAAAACCCCACCUCCUCAAGGUUCCAUAUCCCCUCUCCACUCCAAUAUAGCACCCCAAGCAGAGAACCAGUGUUCAGAUACAAGAGCCCGUGGGCAAUAUGGCUUAUUCUAACCUCCAUAUUCAUACAUAAUAAAAGGUAUUCACCACAAUUUCAAUACAAGAACCCAAAAACUGUAAAAUAAAAGAACAGAGCUGAAAGAACACUUAAAAGUAAGAGCAGAAUGGAAGAGAAAAUACUGAAAUCAGGAUAAGAAAGAAAUCCUUGGCACUGUUUCUCUCUUAUAAGAAAUAGAAAUUGGGGUUAGGGUUUUAGCUCAGUGGUAGAGCGCUUGCCUAGCAAGCUUAAGGCUCUGGGUUGGGACCUCAGGUCUGGAAAAAAAAUAGAAUUUUUCUCACACAGUCUGCAAAUAUGGGCAAAGCAUAUUAAACAUCAAAUAUAUUUUCCAUUCUAUUCUCAACUGAAUAAAUUGCUCACAAGCAUUAUUAAACACUUGGCUAUGGGAAGUCCUUUGAAAAUAAAGUUUAUUAUAACAGGGAAAUAUUCAUGAGUAAACACAGAUAUAUAAUGCCUAUGUACUGCACACCAGGCAAUAUUGCUGAGAGAAUAAAGGGACUAUAUACUGUCUUCAUUAAGUCAGAAGACACCAUUAUUAUGAUUCCUGUGCAUUCAACAUUGAUCUAUGGAUUCACUGUGAUUCCCCCUGAAAAUCCUACCAUUUAAAAAAAGAAAUUAGCAAUCUGAUUAAAACAUUUUUAGAAAUACACAGGACCUAAAUCAUGAAAUAAAGCACAAUUAGAAGGAUAAAUAACAAUACAAACUGAAGUGAAAACUAAUUAUGAAACAGCAUUUCUGCUUGGUAUGAUUUAACCAACAGUGAGCACACAUGUUUACUUCUCUCCCUUUGUUCUGUAACUGUGAAUUUGUACCUGCCUGAGUGCUUCUCUCUCUCUGUCUCUCUCUCUCUCUCUCUCUCUCUCUCUCUCUCUCUCUCUCUCUCUCGUUCAUGUGUCCAUAUACAAAGGGUUUGUUCUCUUCUUUUGAACAUACUAGAAAGAUUCACAUUGGGAAGGAAUGAGGGAUAGUUUACAGCAAUGUUUAACAGUAUUUACAAGGGAUUAAGUCAGUGACUCCAGCUGACCCAGAUAAAUAAAUGCUAUCAAGUAAUAUCUGUGUGUUGUCUUCAACAUUUAUGGCAG